AUGAAGCUAUCUGAGUUCAGAUCUCAAUCACCAACUAUUGUGUUUGUGUGUCACUUCCAAAUCUGAAAAAGAUCAUGAAAGUUACCUUCUAUUGUAACACUUUUUGGUACCCAAAAAAAAGAAACUAUUAGGUAUUCAUAACUAUUUUUAAAAAAAAAACUUGUAUGGGGCAAAAGUUCGGACUUAUAACCAGGUGUACCAACAGAGAUGUGAGACGUGCGAGUCCAGUCUGGUACUCGUAGCCUAUGGCCUCGACUGAUAGAUCCGAUAACCGAUUCCUCCAAGUGACAGUGCCAUUUUGAAGUGGUUUGGCCCCGAGGCGACCUAUCAUCGAACUUCAUGCUGAACCAGAGAUGCCUUUUGCACAUUCCUUUUUGCACUGUUGAAUGGUCUUAUCAUGAAAAAGGCUCGUGCUAGUCUUAUAUAGUUAGCUUCUCAAUGAAACUAAGACCCCAUGCCCAUUACAACACAAGCACCCUAUCUCUCUCUAUCCAUCUCUAUAUGUAUGAUCUUUGAAAGAAAGAAUUUUGAUAAAUAUGAAAAGUGUAUGAUUCU
This 555-nucleotide long non-coding RNA is filed under the name Nicotiana tabacum (common tobacco). RNAcentral describes it as "long non-coding RNA (NTAB_LNC007326)". The record is from RNAcentral. Lineage: Eukaryota; Viridiplantae; Streptophyta; Magnoliopsida; Solanales; Solanaceae.